This 440-nucleotide ribosomal RNA is filed under the name uncultured bacterium. Its description in RNAcentral is "partial 16S ribosomal RNA". It matches the Rfam family "Bacterial small subunit ribosomal RNA", at positions 338 to 795 of the family's 1533-position model. The record is from RNAcentral.
CCUACGGGAGGCAGCAGUGGGGGAUAUUGCACAAUGGGGGAAACCCUGAUGCAGCGACGCCGCGUGUGGGAAGACGGUCCUCUGGAUUGUAAACCACUGUCCCCAGGGACGAAGAUGACGGUACCUGGGGAGGAAGCUCCGGCUAACUACGUGCCAGCAGCCGCGGUAAUACGUAGGGAGCGAGCGUUGUCCGGAAUUACUGGGGGGAAAGGGAGCGUAGGCGGGACUGCAAGUUGGGUGUCAAAUCUACCGGCUCAACCGGUAGCCGCACUCAAAACUGCAGUUCUUGAGUGAAGUAGAGGCAGGUGGAAUUCCUAGUGUAGCGGUGAAAUGCGUAGAUAUUAGGAGGAACACCAGUGGCGAAGGCGGCCUGCUGGGCUUUUACUGACGCUGAGGCUCGAAAGUGUGGGGAGCAAACAGGAUUAGAUACCCCAGUAGUC